CCUACGGGUCGCAGCAGUGGGGAAUAUUGCACAAUGGGCGCAAGCCUGAUGCAGCCAUGCCGCGUGUGUGAAGAAGGCCUUCGGGUUGUAAAGCACUUUCAGCGGGGAGGAAGGCGUUAAGGUUAAUAACCUUAGCGAUUGACGUUACCCGCAGAAGAAGCACCGGCUAACUCCGUGCCAGCAGCCGCGGUAAUACGGAGGGUGCAAGCGUUAAUCGGAAUUACUGGGCGUAAAGCGCACGCAGGCGGUCUGUCAAGUCGGAUGUGAAAUCCCCGGGCUCAACCUGGGAACUGCAUUUGAAGCUGGCAGGCUUGAGUCUUGUAGAGGGGGGUAGAAUUCCAGGUGUAGCGGUGAAAUGCGUAGAGAUCUGGAGGAAUACCGGUGGCGAAGGCGGCCCCCUGGACAGAGACUGACGCUCAGGUGCGAAAGCGUGGGGAGCAAACAGGAUUAGAUACCCCAGUAGUC
This 465-nucleotide ribosomal RNA is filed under the name uncultured bacterium. RNAcentral describes it as "bacterial SSU rRNA". It matches the Rfam family "Bacterial small subunit ribosomal RNA", at positions 338 to 795 of the family's 1533-position model. The record is from RNAcentral.